RNAcentral lists this ribosomal RNA (253 nucleotides) under uncultured bacterium. Its description in RNAcentral is "partial 16S ribosomal RNA". It matches the Rfam family "Bacterial small subunit ribosomal RNA", at positions 524 to 776 of the family's 1533-position model. The record is from RNAcentral.
UACGGAGGGUGCAAGCGUUAUUCGGAAUUACUGGGCGUAAAGCGCACGUAGGCCGCUUUGUAAGUCAGGGGUGAAAUCCCACGGCUCAACCGUGGAACUGCCUUUGAAACUGCAGGGCUUGAAUCCUGGAGAGGGUGGCGGAAUUCCUGGUGUAGGAGUGAAAUCCGUAGAUAUCAGGAGGAACACCGGUGGCGAAGGCGGCCACCUGGACAGGUAUUGACGCUGAGGUGCGAAAGUGUGGGGAGCAAACAGG